RNAcentral lists this ribosomal RNA (747 nucleotides) under uncultured bacterium. RNAcentral describes it as "bacterial SSU rRNA". It matches the Rfam family "Bacterial small subunit ribosomal RNA", at positions 28 to 773 of the family's 1533-position model. The record is from RNAcentral.
GAUGAACGCUGGCGGCGUGCUUAACACAUGCAAGUCGAACGAAGCACUUUAUUUGAUUUCCUUCGGGACUGAUUAUUUUGUGACUGAGUGGCGGACGGGUGAGUAACGCGUGGGUAACCUGCCUUGUACAGGGGGAUAACAGUUGGAAACGGCUGCUAAUACCGCAUAAGCGCACAGCAUCGCAUGAUGCAGUGUGAAGAACUCCGGUGGUAUAAGAUGGACCCGCGUUGGAUUAGCUAGUUGGUGAGGUAACGGCCCACCAAGGCGACGAUCCAUAGCCGACCUGAGAGGGUGACCGGCCACAUUGGGACUGAGACACGGCCCAAACUCCUACGGGAGGCAGCAGUGGGGAAUAUUGCACAAUGGGCGAAAGCCUGAUGCAGCGACGCCGCGUGAGCGAAGAAGUAUUUCGGUAUGUAAAGCUCUAUCAGCAGGGAAGAUAAUGACGGUACCUGACUAAGAAGCACCGGCUAAAUACGUGCCAGCAGCCGCGGUAAUACGUAUGGUGCAAGCGUUAUCCGGAUUUACUGGGUGUAAAGGGAGCGCAGGCGGUGCGGCAAGUCUGAUGUGAAAGCCCGGGGCUCAACCCCGGUACUGCAUUGGAAACUGUCGUACUAGAGUGUCGGAGGGGUAAGCGGAAUUCCUAGUGUAGCGGUGAAGUGCGUAGAUAUUAGGAGGAACACCAGUGGCGAAGGCGGCUUACUGGACGAUAACUGACGCUGAGGCUCGAAAGCGUGGGGAGCAAAC